This 479-nucleotide ribosomal RNA is filed under the name Babesia microti. Its description in RNAcentral is "SSU rRNA". It matches the Rfam family "Eukaryotic small subunit ribosomal RNA", at positions 537 to 1039 of the family's 1831-position model. The record is from RNAcentral. Lineage: Eukaryota; Apicomplexa; Aconoidasida; Piroplasmida; Babesiidae.
CAGAGUAUCAAUUGGAGGGCAAGUCUGGUGCCAGCAGCCGCGGUAAUUCCAGCUCCAAUAGCGUAUAUUAAAGUUGUUGCAGUUAAGAAGCUCGUAGUUGAAUUUCUGCCUUGUCAUUAAUCUCGCUUCCGAGCGUUUUUUUAUUGACUUGGCAUCUUCUGGAUUUGGUGCCUUCGGGUACUAUUUUCCAGGAUUUACUUUGAGAAAACUAGAGUGUUUCAAACAGGCAUUCGCCUUGAAUACUACAGCAUGGAAUAAUGAAGUAGGACUUUGGUUCUAUUUUGUUGGUUAUUGAGCCAGAGUAAUGGUUAAUAGGAGCAGUUGGGGGCAUUCGUAUUUAACUGUCAGAGGUGAAAUUCUUAGAUUUGUUAAAGACGAACUACUGCGAAAGCAUUUGCCAAGGAUGUUUUCAUUAAUCAAGAACGAAAGUUAGGGGAUCGAAGACGAUCAGAUACCGUCGUAGUCCUAACCAUAAACUA